AGAGUUUGAUCAUGGCUCAGAUUGAACGCUGGCGGCAUGCCUUACACAUGCAAGUCGAACGGCAGCAUGAUCUAGCUUGCUAGAUUGAUGGCGAGUGGCGAACGGGUGAGUAAUACAUCGGAACGUGCCCUGUAGUGGGGGAUAACUAGUCGAAAGAUUAGCUAAUACCGCAUACGACCUGAGGGUGAAAGUGGGGGACCGCAAGGCCUCAUGCUAUAGGAGCGGCCGAUGUCUGAUUAGCUAGUUGGUGGGGUAAAGGCCCACCAAGGCGACGAUCAGUAGCUGGUCUGAGAGGACGAUCAGCCACACUGGGACUGAGACACGGCCCAGACUCCUACGGGAGGCAGCAGUGGGGAAUUUUGGACAAUGGGGGCAACCCUGAUCCAGCAAUGCCGCGUGUGUGAAGAAGGCCUUCGGGUUGUAAAGCACUUUUGUCCGGAAAGAAAUCGCACUUACUAAUAUUAGGUGUGGAUGACGGUACCGGAAGAAUAAGGACCGGCUAACUACGUGCCAGCAGCCGCGGUAAUACGUAGGGUCCAAGCGUUAAUCGGAAUUACUGGGCGUAAAGCGUGCGCAGGCGGUUGUGCAAGACCGAUGUGAAAUCCCCGGGCUUAACCUGGGAAUUGCAUUGGUGACUGCACGGCUAGAGUGUGUCAGAGGGGGGUAGAAUUCCACGUGUAGCAGUGAAAUGCGUAGAGAUGUGGAGGAAUACCGAUGGCGAAGGCAGCCCCCUGGGAUAACACUGACGCUCCUGCACGAAAGCGUGGGGAGCAAACAGGAUUAGAUACCCUGGUAGUCCACGCCCUAAACGAUGUCAACUAGUUGUUGGGGAUUCAUUUCCUUAGUAACGUAGCUAACGCGUGAAGUUGACCGCCUGGGGAGUACGGUCGCAAGAUUAAAACUCAAAGGAAUUGACGGGGACCCGCACAAGCGGUGGAUGAUGUGGAUUAAUUCGAUGCAACGCGAAAAACCUUACCUACCCUUGACAUGCCACUAACGAAGCAGAGAUGCAUUAGGUGCUCGAAAGAGAAAGUGGACACAGGUGCUGCAUGGCUGUCGUCAGCUCGUGUCGUGAGAUGUUGGGUUAAGUCCCGCAACGAGCGCAACCCUUGUCUCUAGUUGCUACGAAAGGGCACUCUAGAGAGACUGCCGGUGACAAACCGGAGGAGGGUGGGGAUGACGUCAAGUCCUCAUGGCCCUUAUGGGUAGGGCUUCACACGUCAUACAAUGGUGCAUACAGAGGGUUGCCAAGCCGCGAGGUGGAGCUAAUCCCAGAAAAUGCAUCGUAGUCCGGAUCGUAGUCUGCAACUCGACUACGUGAAGCUGGAAUCGCUAGUAAUCGCGGAUCAGCAUGCCGCGGUGAA
RNAcentral lists this ribosomal RNA (1364 nucleotides) under unidentified marine bacterioplankton. Its description in RNAcentral is "bacterial SSU rRNA". It matches the Rfam family "Bacterial small subunit ribosomal RNA", at positions 8 to 1366 of the family's 1533-position model. RNAcentral also lists the same sequence under 1 other name. The record is from RNAcentral.